AGUUUCCAUUCAUCUGCUCCGGUCCAUCUGAGUGCGUCUUUGAUGAAGAAGAAGAAGACAGUGAGGAGAUGGAGGAUGACUGUGACUGUGUCUGCUGUGAUUGAGGGAAUGCUGAAGCAGCUCCAGCAGCAGCUGGAGGACCAGGCGCUGGAUGAUGACAUCACACUGAGCUGGAUGAUGACAUCACACUGAGCUGGAUGAUGACAUCACACUGAGCUGGAUUAUAAACUUAUAUUUACUCAUAUUUAAACAUAUUAAGACUGUUGGUUUAUUAAGUAUGAAUGUAUGUGUUUGGGUUGUGGGAAAUUAUAACAGGCAAUGUUUUAUUAUUUUUCACAUUUUAUAAGUAAGAUAAUAUAAAUUAGAUUUGACUGGAAUCAACUCCAGAGAAAAUACACAUUUAAACUUUAAUGUUGUGUUGAAUCAUUCAAAUCUACUUUAAUGAGUCAAAACAUCUUUCUUCAUUUGAGUUAAUAUAUUGCAAAAAGUUCUGGAUUAAUAUGAAUAUUUAAUGCUUUUCUUUGUCAUAUAUGGUCAUAAGCUUAUAUUUACUUAUAUUUAAAGGUGUUGGUUUAUUAAAACAAGACAUUUGAAUGUGUGUGUGCUGUGGGGAUUUAUAACAGAGAUGUUUCAUUAUUUUCUGACAUUUUAUUGAUAAGAUUUAUACGAUUAGAUUACACAUAUUCUUUAUGAUGAGAUCAGAUAUUUGGUUCCUUUAAUUUCAUAUGUUUUGGUUUAGAAAUUAAAGUGUCACUGCAAUGACAUUUUAUUUAGUUUUUAAUGAAAUAAAAUUUCUAACAAAGUAAUGUGGUGAAAAUGUAUGAUGAAAUAACAUAAUAAUGUCUGCAAUGACUUUAAUAAAUUUCUUUAAUUAUUUCACAAAUUGUUGCUUUAUUUAUAUUUGUCACAAUUGACUUGUGUGAUGAUUUAUUUGGUAUUUUAUAAUAGAGAUAAUAGAGAAGACUUUCCAUAAUACUGCUGAUUUUUAACACUAAAUGGCCUCUGUGAUCUAUAAUAUUUUUAUAAAGUUUCAUCAUCUCUGAAUGUUUUUUUUGGCUUUAUUAAGGGUUAUAAUAGUUUACUGCCUGUGCCUGCUGUUUAGGAAGGAUUUUACAUUAUUCUCUCACCACUUAAAUAAAAUGCAUGUUAGUAAUAAAGGAAGAAAGAUUUGUGUGUAAUAAUUCUUGUGGAUACAAAAGGUCCAAAAA
Molecule: long non-coding RNA, 1208 nt
Organism: Centropristis striata (black sea bass)
Lineage: Eukaryota; Metazoa; Chordata; Actinopteri; Perciformes; Serranidae
Exons: 3
Source: RefSeq, a predicted model, not a curated record